GACGAACGCUGGCGGCGCGCUUAACACAUGCAAGUCGAGCGAAGCGGCGGACGGGUGAGUAACACGUGAGUAACCCGCCUUAGACAUCGGGAUAGCCUAGGGAAACCGGGAUUAAUACCAAAUGGUCUAAGAUGGACUCGCGUCCCAUUAGCUAGUUGGUGGGUAACGGCCCACCAAGGAGACGAUGGGUACCCGGCCUUAGAGGAUGAACGGCCACAUUGGAACUGAGAAACGGUCCAAACUCUACGGGAGGCAGGAGUGGGUAAUAUUGCACAAUGGAGGGAGCUCUGAUGCAGCGACGCCUCGUGAACGAAGAAGGCUUUCGAGUCAUAAGGUUCUUUUAUAUGAGAAGCGGUACCGUAAGAGAAAGCCCCGGCUAACUACGUGCCAGCAGCCGCGGUAAUUC
This 406-nucleotide ribosomal RNA is filed under the name uncultured bacterium. RNAcentral describes it as "partial 16S ribosomal RNA". It matches the Rfam family "Bacterial small subunit ribosomal RNA", at positions 28 to 526 of the family's 1533-position model. The record is from RNAcentral.